This is a non-coding RNA of Rattus norvegicus (Norway rat), 63 nucleotides long. The record is from Rfam. Lineage: Eukaryota; Metazoa; Chordata; Mammalia; Rodentia; Muridae.
GGGGAUUUAGCUCAGCGGUAGAGCGCUUGCCUAACAAGUGCAAGGCCCUGGGUUCAGUCCCCA